CUACCAGACUCCUACGGGAGGCAGCAGUGGGGGAUAUUGCACAAUGGGGGGAACCCUGAUGCAGCGACGCCGCGUGGGUGAAGAAGCGCCUCGGCGCGUAAAGCCCUGUCAGCAGGGAAGAAAAUGACGGUACCUGAAGAAGAAGCCCCGGCUAACUACGUGCCAGCAGCCGCGGUAAUACGUAGGGGGCAAGCGUUAUCCGGAUUCACUGGGUGUAAAGGGAGCGUAGACGGCGACGCAAGUCUGGAGUGAAAGCCCGGGGCCCAACCCCGGGACUGCUCUGGAAACUGCGUCGCUGGAGUACGGGAGGGGCAGGCGGAAUUCCUGGGGUAGCGGUGAAAUGCGUGGAUAUCAGGAGGAACACCGGCGGCGAAGGCGGCCUGCUGGACCGUGACUGACGUUGAGGCUCGAGAGCGUGGGGAGCGAACAGGAUUAGAUACCCUCGUAG
This 448-nucleotide ribosomal RNA is filed under the name uncultured bacterium. RNAcentral's name for it is "bacterial SSU rRNA". It matches the Rfam family "Bacterial small subunit ribosomal RNA", at positions 328 to 793 of the family's 1533-position model. The record is from RNAcentral.